This is a non-coding RNA of Triticum aestivum (bread wheat), 119 nucleotides long. Lineage: Eukaryota; Viridiplantae; Streptophyta; Magnoliopsida; Poales; Poaceae. The record is from Rfam.
GGAUGCGAUCAUACCAGCACUAAAGCACCGGAUCCCAUCAGAACUCCGAAGUUAAGCGUGCUUGGGCGAGAGUAGUACUAGGAUGGGUGACCUCCUCGGAAGUCCUCGUGUUGCAUUCC